GGUGCACAUGAUGGUUUAAGCGAUCAAAGUAUGAAAAAUUCAUGAUUCCAGCUUUAUUACUACUGAUGCACC
Molecule: small nucleolar RNA, 72 nt
Organism: Cheilinus undulatus (humphead wrasse)
Lineage: Eukaryota; Metazoa; Chordata; Actinopteri; Labriformes; Labridae
Source: RefSeq, a predicted model, not a curated record